GCCACAUAUGUAUAUAUAUAUAUCACAAAUCCCUUUGUCUAUAUCACAAUCCACAUACAUAUCACACAUGAAACAUAUCGAAGUCCACAGAUAUCACAAAUCCACAUAGAUAUGACAAAUCUAACAUUACGUCCAACAUAAACCAUAAGUUCAUAACAUAAACCACAAGUUCAUAACAUAAACUACAAGUCCACAUGAAUAUCACUCCUCGAAGUCGCUAGCGCCUCACCCCUAGUGCUGUGACUCUGACCCGUCGUCGCCGUGGCCUCCGUCGUGUCCCGAGCCCCCAUCUGGCCAAGCCGACCAGAGUGAGUGCCUCCCAGGGUGUGGAGAGCUCGCACCUGCCCACGGCGCCCACAUGGCCUGCCCUGGCACCGACGGGUACGGGUACGAGUACCCGGGGCGCGGAGGAGGGCUGCCGGACAACCCGGGGUGGCCGUGCUGCGGAUGGGCACCAGGCCACGUGUGCUGCGAGACGGUGCAGUGGCGAGGUGGCGCCGUGCCAAGGUGCUCCGAGUCCCCUCCGACAGGUCCUACUCUGCAAAACAAGAAAAACAACACUAUAAGUACAAAAUUUCGGCAGAACCUCCCCUGCACGGGAGGUUUCCAAAACCUGCAAAAGAAAGCCGGC
RNAcentral lists this long non-coding RNA (631 nucleotides) under Sorghum bicolor (sorghum). RNAcentral describes it as "long non-coding RNA (SBIC_LNC015060)". The record is from RNAcentral. Lineage: Eukaryota; Viridiplantae; Streptophyta; Magnoliopsida; Poales; Poaceae.